AGUGAACGCUGGCGGUAGGCCUAACACAUGCAAGUCGAACGGCAGCACAGUAAGAGCUUGCUCUUACGGGUGGCGAGUGGCGGACGGGUGAGGAAUACAUCGGAAUCUACUUUUUCGUGGAGGAUAACGUAGGGAAACUUACGCUAAUACCGCAUACGACCUACGGGUGAAAGCAGGGGAUCUUCGGACCUUGCGCGAUUGAAUGAGCCGAUGUCGGGUUAGCUAGUUGGCGGGGUAAAGGCCCACCAAGGCGACGAUCCGUAGCUGGUCUGAGAGGAUGGUCAGCCACAGUGGAACUGAGACACGGUCCAGACUCCGACGGGAGGCAGCAGUGGGGAAUAGUGGAAAAUGGGCGCAAGCCUGAUCCAGCCAUACCGCGUGGGUGAAGAAGGCCUUCGUGUUGUAAAGCCCUUUUGUUGGGAAAGAAAAGCAGCAGGUUAAUACCCCGCUGUUCUGACGGUACCCAAAGAAUAAGCACCGGCUAACUUCGU
This 491-nucleotide ribosomal RNA is filed under the name uncultured bacterium. RNAcentral describes it as "partial 16S ribosomal RNA". It matches the Rfam family "Bacterial small subunit ribosomal RNA", at positions 29 to 506 of the family's 1533-position model. The record is from RNAcentral.